Molecule: ribosomal RNA, 429 nt
Filed under: Pseudomonadota bacterium
Lineage: Bacteria; Pseudomonadati; Pseudomonadota
Description: Proteobacteria bacterium partial 16S ribosomal RNA
Rfam family: Bacterial small subunit ribosomal RNA
Source: RNAcentral
GGGGGAAUAUUGGACAAUGGGCGAAAGCCUGAUCCAGCCAGGCCGCGUGGGUGAAGAAGGUCUUCGGAUGGUAAAGCACUUUAAGGAGGGAGGAAGGGCAGGAAGAGAAGACCUGGCUGGUGGGACGUUACCGACAGAAUAAGCACCGGGUAACUCUGCGCCAGCAGCCGCGGUAAGACAGAGGGUGCAAGCGUUAAUCGGAAUGACUGGGCGUAAAGCGCGCGUAGGUGGUUCGUUAAGUUGAAUGUGAAAGCCCCGGGCUCAACCUGGGAACUGCAUCCAAAACUGGCGAGCUAGAGUAGGGCAGAGGGUGGUGGAAUUUCCUGUGUAGCGGUGAAAUGCGUAGAUAUAGGAAGGAACACCAGUGGCGAAGGCGACCACCUGGGCUCAUACUGACACUGAGGUGCGAAAGCGUGGGGAGCAAACAGG